Molecule: ribosomal RNA, 497 nt
Filed under: uncultured bacterium
Lineage: Bacteria
Description: partial 16S ribosomal RNA
Rfam family: Bacterial small subunit ribosomal RNA
Source: RNAcentral
GAUGAGCGCUGGCGGCGUGCCUAGUACAUGCAAGUCGAGCGAACGGACGAGAAGCUUGCUUUUCUGAUGUUAGCGGCGGACGGGUGAGUAACACGUGGAUAACCUACCUAUAAGACUGGGAUAACUUCGGGAAACCGGAGCUAAUACCGGAUAAUAUUUUGAACCGCAUGGUUCAAAAGUGAAAGACGGUCUUGCUGUCACUUAUAGAUGGAUCCGCGCUGCAUUAGCUAGUUGGUAAGGUAACGGCUUACCAAGGCAACGAUGCAUAGCCGACCUGAGAGGGUGAUCGGCCACACUGGAACUGAGACACGGUCCAGACUCCUACGGGAGGCAGCAGUAGGGAAUCUUCCGCAAUGGGCGAAAGCCUGACGGAGCAACGCCGCGUGAGUGAUGAAGGUCUUCGGAUCGUAAAACUCUGUUAUUAGGGAAGAACAUAUGUGUAAGUAACCGUGCACAUCUUGACGGUACCUAAUCAGAAAGCCACGGCUAACUACGUG